CAACAACUCACACAACCGCUGACGUCAGCAUGACGUCAUCUCAAAACGACGUCGUUUUGAUAAUUAAAAAAAAAAAAAAAAAAGGUCGCUGAACAGAUCAGUCGCCCUUUCCCUUUUCACGAUCAGAAUACAUACAAGAGGUGUGAAAGGAGAGCUCCCACCACCACCACCCGCAACCAGCACAACCCGAACCCCAUCGCCGCCCCCUCGUCGGUGACCGCCAGCACCACCGGCCUCGGGGUACCCGGCGCUGUUAUCUCCACCACGAAGGUGUUCUCUCUCUCGAGACCGUUGUUACACUUUCUCCAACAAAAUCGAAUCGAAUGAAACUUGAAGAGGUUUGUAAGCAAAAUGCACGUGUUAGUAACGAUUGUGUGGCCUGUGCCUCGCUUAAGCAUUUCUUUGUAUUCCUACAGAUACUCUUUUCAACAUAGCAAAACAUGUGCCAGUGUGUUGUCAAUGGCGACAAAAUUAGGCAGUACCACCACUGGCAGCAAUGUAUACUCUGCUUGCCAAAUCAGCUACAGCUCCAUCAUCAGAUUCCAUCAACAUUAUUGACCUUCCCUCAACAGUAGAGAAGGUACAACUCAUAAAUGUCAAGGGCAUAGCAAGAGUCACUAAUUUCAAUCAGCGGUUCCACUACUUAUCUUGCUCAAUCUACAACAAAGCAUCAAAUGCAUACAAAAAUUCAGAGCUUUGGUGCAAUUACUGCGCACGCCGAGUUCCAGCACCAGCAAGGUAAAAAAACACGACACAUGCCGUUGAAGUUUCUACAAUGACAAGAAAAAGACGAUAGGAAACUUGGACAUUGAAAGAGCUCGAGGAGAAAGAACAGCUAGUGCUUACAGCCAACAAAGAAACUUGGCAGUUCAACCACUUCAAGAUGCCACAUGCCGUUGAAAGAGAUUGAAGCUAUUCAAGUGAAUCAAAGGCCAAGAAAAUGAUAAAUUGUUGUAAUUUGAAAUAUGUAAACACGUAUUUUGUUGGAAUAUCAAGUUUUAGUUUUGCAAAAUCUUACUUCGAUUGUAGCCUAUUUGUGUGACUAUAUUGUUUUACGGUUUUUGUUGGGAAUGAAUAAUUUGGCAAUGAAUGUGGCUUGUGAAUGGUGAUUUAGAAUAAGAAAUGUCUGGGGUGGGCUAGUGCUUAAUCUCAUGUUGUUUCUAUUGUUGUUAUUGCUGUAUUGAUUGAGACGCGAGACGUCGGGUUAGGACCAAACAACA
Molecule: long non-coding RNA, 1220 nt
Organism: Rhododendron vialii
Lineage: Eukaryota; Viridiplantae; Streptophyta; Magnoliopsida; Ericales; Ericaceae
Exons: 3
Source: RefSeq, a predicted model, not a curated record